Molecule: small RNA, 525 nt
Filed under: Pan troglodytes (chimpanzee)
Lineage: Eukaryota; Metazoa; Chordata; Mammalia; Primates; Hominidae
Description: retained intron
Source: RNAcentral
GUGACCAUGCGCCGCAGGACGCUCUACUAUGGCCUCAACCUGCUGAUCCCCUGUGUGCUCAUCUCCGCCCUCGCCCUGCUGGUGUUCCUGCUUCCUGCAGAUUCCGGGGAGAAGAUUUCCCUGGGUAAGCGCCCCAGUGUCUGGCGGGAGUCUGAGACUAGAGACCCUCUGCUGAGGUCAGCUCUGGAGGGCUCACAGCAGACAGCGCAGGACUCCAUCAGGGUUCCUGGGGAUUCCCUGGCUCAUCCCAUGGACCUCCGAGCCCACGGUGGCUCCAGGACACCAGAGGUCCCUGAUUCGGGCUCCGUGCUGGACGGCUGUGUAAUCCUGAGAAUACUGGAGGACCCUCAGAGGAUGGGGGAUGCACAGGGAGGGGCCAGCUCCAUUCUGCCUUGAGAGGCCUGUGCCUUCUUCCCUCCUGCCACCCCACCUGUUCCUCAAUGGCGACUGGUCAUCGAGGGAACAAUUUAGCUUAGUAUCAGCUUGCAUUUGUAUGUUACAGUACCCAGUGUAAUUCUUACGAUC